RNAcentral lists this long non-coding RNA (1174 nucleotides) under Sus scrofa (pig). Its description in RNAcentral is "lncRNA (ENSSSCG00030073089.1)". Lineage: Eukaryota; Metazoa; Chordata; Mammalia; Artiodactyla; Suidae. The record is from RNAcentral.
UCGGUCUCUCUGUCUAAAAUAAACCGAGGUGGUCCCUGGUCUGGGCGUCCUAGGACGUGUCUGAACACCCCGCGGAGGAAGAAGACAGCACCAGCCACUGCUGGCACGGGGCUGCAGCCCCUGGCUACACACACCUCCGAAAGACAGCGGCGACUUCGGACACCUCUCUCCCGCCCCAGCCUGACUCCCCAGGGGCGGUGUGAAACCACGAGUGAUAAUAUCUCCCAUCGCCAGCUUUGAACUUCAGGUAGAAGGAGACCUUAUGGCAGUUGGACUAUCUGAGAGACCUGGUGCCCUGUGCUGCCUCCUGCAUAAUGCAUGUGCUCGUGGUAGGAACAGAACCCCGUCCGUGGUGAGUCUGGCCACUGUGGGCCAUGGACGUGUCCAGAGGCCUUGCCAAGGCUGAUGUCUCUAGGAUGUUGGCAGGAGAUGAGGAGACAGAGGGAGUAUGUGUCACCUGAAAAUUUUCCUGGGGCUGAGGUGGGAACAGGUUGCAUCUUGAGCCUCAGGAUUCUGCAAAGAAAAUAGGGGAAGACAUGAGUUCCCAUGGCUCAGCGGUAAGGAACCAAAAUAAUACCCACGAGGACGUGGGUUUGAUCCUUGGCCCUGAUCAGUGGGUUAAGGAUCCGGCAUUGCUGUGAGAUGUGGUGUAGGCUGCAGACUUAGCUUGAAUCCUGCAUUGUUGGCUGUGGGGUAGGUCAGCAGCUGCAGCUCUGAUCUGCAGACCCUAAAAAAGAAAAAAAGAAAAAAAAAAGUGGGCAGUCAGAGUGCCUCACAAGCCCAGGGAAGGCAUCACCUCAUUGGUUGGAUUCCACUCAUUCAUAGAAUCAGUAAGUACUCAAGGCCAAGCUAACUGCUAGGGCUUAAGAUAUGAAGAUGAGGAGUUCCCAUUGUGGCUCAGUGGUUAACGAAGCCAACUAGGAACCAUGAGGUUGUGGGUUCGAUCCCUGGCCUCACUCAGUGGGUUAAGGAUCUGGCGUUGCCUCGAGCUGUGGUGUAGGUCGUAGACUCAGCUCAGAUCCCACAUUGCUGUGGCUCUGGCGUAGGCCAGCGGCUACAGCUCUAAUUGGACCCCUAGCCUGGGAACCUCCAUAUGCCCCGGGUGCAGCCCUAGAAAAAAAAGACAUGAAGAUGAAUCAGGGGAGUUCCUGUUGUGGCUCAGUAGGUUAAGGAC